This 487-nucleotide ribosomal RNA is filed under the name uncultured bacterium. RNAcentral's name for it is "bacterial SSU rRNA". It matches the Rfam family "Bacterial small subunit ribosomal RNA", at positions 45 to 524 of the family's 1533-position model. The record is from RNAcentral.
GGCUUACACAUGCAAGUCCGACAGCAGCACGGGUGCUUGCACUUGGUGGCGAGUGGCGAACGGGUGAGUAAUGCAUUGGAACGUACCGAGUAGUGGGGGAUAACUAGUCGAAAGAUUAGCUAAUACCGCAUACGACCUGAGGGUGAAAGCGGGGGACUCUUUGAGCCUCGCGCUAUUUGAGCGGCCAAUGUCUGAUUAGGUAGUUGGUGGGGUAAAGGCCUACCAAGCCGACGAUCAGUAGCGGGUCUGAGAGGAUGAUCCGCCAUACUGGGACUGAGACACGGCCCAGACUCCUACGGGAGGCAGCAGUGGGGAAUUUUGGACAAUGGGCGAAAGCCUGAUCCAGCCAUGCCGCGUGUCUGAAGAAGGCCUUCGGGUUGUAAAGGACUUUUGUCGGGGAAGAAAAGCGGAUUGCCAAUACCAGUUCGUGAUGACGGUCACCCGAAGAAUAAGCACCGGCUAACUACGUGCCAGCUACCGCUGUAAU